GAUGAACGCUGGCGGCGUGCCUAAUACAUGCAAGUCGAGCGAACGGACGAGAAGCUUGCUUCUCUGAUGUUAGCGGCGGACGGGUGAGUAACACGUGGAUAACCUACCUGUAAGACUGGGAUAACUUCGGGAAACCGUAGCUAAUACCGGAUAAUAUUUUGAACCGCAUGGUUCAAAAGUGAAAGACGGUCUUGCUGUCACUUAUAGAUGGAUCCGCGCUGCAUUAGCUAGUUGGUAAGGUAACGGCUUACCAAGGCAACGAUGCAUAGCCGACCUGAGAGGGUGAUCGGCCACACUGGAACUGAGACACGGUCCAGACUCCUACGGGAGGCAGCAGUAGGGAAUCUUCCGCAAUGGGCGAAAGCCUGACGGAGCAACGCCGCGUGAGUGAUGAAGGUCUUCGGAUCGUAAAACUCUGUUAUUAGGGAAGAACAUAUGUGUAAGUAACUGUGCACAUCUUGGCGGUACCUAAUCAGAAAGCCACGGCUAACUACGUG
This 497-nucleotide ribosomal RNA is filed under the name uncultured bacterium. RNAcentral describes it as "partial 16S ribosomal RNA". It matches the Rfam family "Bacterial small subunit ribosomal RNA", at positions 28 to 507 of the family's 1533-position model. The record is from RNAcentral.